RNAcentral lists this ribosomal RNA (403 nucleotides) under uncultured bacterium. Its description in RNAcentral is "partial 16S ribosomal RNA". It matches the Rfam family "Bacterial small subunit ribosomal RNA", at positions 28 to 526 of the family's 1533-position model. The record is from RNAcentral.
GACGAACGCUGGCGGCGUGCCUAAUACAUGCAAGUCGAACGCAGUGGGGCCGGGUGAUUAACACGUGGGUAACCUCCCAUCAGAUGGGAUAACCCUUGGCAACAGGUGCUAAACCGCUACUGAUGGAUGGACCCGCGGUGCAUUAGCUAGUUGGUGAGUUAACGGCGCACCAAGGCCACGAUGCAUAGCCGACCGGAGAGGGUGAUCGGCAACACGGUGACGGAGACACGGCCCAGACUCCGACGGGAGGCAGCAGUAGGGAAUCUGCGGCAAUGGACGAAAGUCUGACCGAGAAACGCCGCGGGAGUGAAGAAGGUUUUCGGAUCGUAAAACUCUGUUGUUAGAGAAGCGGUAUCUAACCAGAAAGCCACGGCUAACUCCGUGCCAGCAGCCGCGGUAAUAC